CCUACGGGUGGCAGCAGUGAGGAAUAUUGGUCAAUGGACGAGAGUCUGAACCAGCCAAGUAGCGUGAAGGAUGACUGCCCUAUGGGUUGUAAACUUCUUUUAUAUGGGAAUAAAAUGUGCCACGUGUGGGAUUUUGUAUGUACCAUAUGAAUAAGGAUCGGCUAACUCCGUGCCAGCAGCCGCGGUAAUACGGAGGAUCCGAGCGUUAUCCGGAUUUAUUGGGUUUAAAGGGAGCGUAGGUGGAUUGUUAAGUCAGUUGUGAAAGUUUGCGGCUCAACCGUAAAAUUGCAGUUGAAACUGGCAGUCUUGAGUACAGUAGAGGUGGGCGGAAUUCGUGGUGUAGCGGUGAAAUGCUUAGAUAUCACGAAGAACUCCGAUUGCGAAGGCAGUUCACUGGACUGCAACUGACACUGAGGCUCGAAAGUGUGGGUAUCAAACAGGAUUAGAUACCCGAGUAGUC
This 460-nucleotide ribosomal RNA is filed under the name uncultured bacterium. RNAcentral describes it as "partial 16S ribosomal RNA". It matches the Rfam family "Bacterial small subunit ribosomal RNA", at positions 338 to 795 of the family's 1533-position model. The record is from RNAcentral.